Molecule: ribosomal RNA, 378 nt
Filed under: uncultured bacterium
Lineage: Bacteria
Description: bacterial SSU rRNA
Rfam family: Bacterial small subunit ribosomal RNA
Source: RNAcentral
AUUGAACGCUGGCGGCGUGCUUAACACAUGCAAGUCGUGCGGUAACAGGCGUAGCAAUACGUGCUGACGAGCGGCGAACGGGUGCGUAAUACAUGGGAAUCUGCCCUUUAGUGGGGAAUAACCCGGCGAAAGCCGGGCUAAUGCCGCAUAAGAUCUUCGGAUGAAAGCGGGGAGUCGUAAGACCUCGCGCUGAUGGAUGAGCCCACUGUCGGAUUAGCUAGUGGUGGAGGUAACGGCUCACCAAGGCGACGAUCCGUAGCUGGUCUGAGAGGACGGCCAGCCACACUGGGACUGAGACACGGCCCAGACUCCUACGGGAGGCAGCAGUGGGGAAGUCUUGCGCAAUGGGCGAAAGCCUGACGCAGCGACGCCGCGUGA